GGCGCAUUCGUCUAGUGGUUAGGACACGGCCCUCUCAAGGCCGCGGCAGGGGUUCGAAUCCCCUAUGCGCUA
RNAcentral lists this transfer RNA (72 nucleotides) under Bacteroidota bacterium. RNAcentral's name for it is "tRNA-Glu". It matches the Rfam family "tRNA". Rfam says of the family: Transfer RNA (tRNA) molecules are approximately 80 nucleotides in length. Their secondary structure includes four short double-helical elements and three loops (D, anti-codon, and T loops). The record is from RNAcentral. RNAcentral also lists the same sequence under 4 other names. Lineage: Bacteria; Pseudomonadati; Bacteroidota.